RNAcentral lists this ribosomal RNA (254 nucleotides) under uncultured bacterium. Its description in RNAcentral is "partial 16S ribosomal RNA". It matches the Rfam family "Bacterial small subunit ribosomal RNA", at positions 524 to 776 of the family's 1533-position model. The record is from RNAcentral.
UACGUAGGGCGCAAGCGUUAUCCGGAAUUAUUGGGCGUAAAGAGCUCGUAGGCGGUUUGUCGCGUCUGCCGUGAAAGUCCGGGGCUCAACUCCGGAUCUGCGGUGGGUACGGGCAGACUAGAGUGAUGUAGGGGGAGACUGGAAUUCCUGGUGUAGCGGUGAAAUGCGCAGAUAUCAGGAGGAACACCGAUGGCGAAGGCAGGUCUCUGGGCCGAUAUCGACGCUGAGGAGCGAAAGCGUGGGGAGCGAACAGG